UACAGAGGUGGCAAGCGUUGUUCGGAAUUACUGGGCGUAAAGGGCGCGUAGGCGGCCUUCUAAGUCAGACGUGAAAUCCCCCGGCUUAACCUGGGAACUGCGUCUGAUACUGGAGGGCUUGAGUAUGGGAGAGGGAUGUAGAAUUCCAGGUGUAGCGGUGAAAUGCGUAGAUAUCUGGAGGAACACCGGUGGCGAAGGCGGCAUCCUGGACCAACACUGACGCUGAGGAGCGAAAGCCAGGGGAGCAAACGGG
This 253-nucleotide ribosomal RNA is filed under the name uncultured bacterium. Its description in RNAcentral is "partial 16S ribosomal RNA". It matches the Rfam family "Bacterial small subunit ribosomal RNA", at positions 524 to 776 of the family's 1533-position model. The record is from RNAcentral.